CUUUGCUUGCUACUCGCUUUUGAGUUGCUACAUUGAUAUUGUAGUAAACAUACCAGUAAAGCUAGGAUCACUCCUUGGUUUUCUCGUUCCUUAUAAUUCUUAUGUUGUACAAAAUUAUUAGAAAUCUGUUGCUGAUCCUUUCAAAAUUGUUCUUUGCAGUGAAGCUAGGAUCAUGCUGUUCUGCUAAUCAGUAAGCUAUAUCUUGUUUGGUUUCCAUUUCUAAUUUUUGAAGUCAUUUAUGAAAUUCAGUGUAACCUCUCUAAUGGUAAAACAUUAGCACACUACUUUAUACACCC
Molecule: long non-coding RNA, 296 nt
Filed under: Sorghum bicolor (sorghum)
Lineage: Eukaryota; Viridiplantae; Streptophyta; Magnoliopsida; Poales; Poaceae
Description: long non-coding RNA (SBIC_LNC014752)
Source: RNAcentral